CCUACGGGAGGCAGCAGUGGGGAAUAUUGGACAAUGGGCGAAAGCCUGAUCCAGCCAUGCCGCGUGUGUGAAGAAGGUCUUCGGAUUGUAAAGCACUUUAAGUUGGGAGGAAGGGAUGUAGAUUAUUACUCUGCAACUUUGACGUUACCGACAGAAUAAGCACCGGCUAACUCUGUGCCAGCAGGCGCGGUAAU
Molecule: ribosomal RNA, 194 nt
Filed under: uncultured bacterium
Lineage: Bacteria
Description: partial 16S ribosomal RNA
Rfam family: Bacterial small subunit ribosomal RNA
Source: RNAcentral